RNAcentral lists this long non-coding RNA (9216 nucleotides) under Nicotiana tabacum (common tobacco). RNAcentral describes it as "long non-coding RNA (NTAB_LNC004242)". The record is from RNAcentral. Lineage: Eukaryota; Viridiplantae; Streptophyta; Magnoliopsida; Solanales; Solanaceae.
UUUCUCUCCCUUUGGGUUCUGGCAGCAAGAACUGAUGUAGUUUUCAUUACUUCUUGUAAUUGUGACAAAACUUUCCACUAGUUUGGCAAUUUAUUUAAUAAAAGAAACCAUUUACUUAAGUAUUGUGCAAGAAAAUAUUCUUUUACAUUAACUGACAAAGUUUCAGGAAUCUUUUCACAUCCGAUAGCUUUUGAUUCCAGGCAUAAACACUUCCAGAAUCUACCUUUUACUAUGAGGGUUUCAUAAGAGAGGGCCCUCGUAUUUACGAUGACAAUGUCUCAUGUUCAUUCCGGCACAACCAUUUAAAGUUUUUGUUAACACUCAAAUGAUAAAAUAAAUUAACUUAUCAUUCAGGAAAGAAUAAUAUAAAAAUAAAAGGACUUUGAUUUAUUCCCUCUAUCUUUAAAAGUAUAUUUACAUAAACAUUCAUUUGCUUAAGUAAAUAAAGGUUCCAAUACAUGUGGCUAACUUGUACAACUUAUUUCUGUGAGGCUGAUCAUGUAGUCACCGGCCCUGAUAAGAUAUUGAUCCUGGUUCUACUGGUCCCUGUCUUUAUAACACUUUUACUGCUUUGAUAUGUAUUAUUCCCACCAAUGUUCAGAUUCUAAGUGUGAGAAUUAGAACACUGAGGUCUUGCAUUCGUCGAUGACAUAUCGUAGUAUCUUUACAUUAUUGCCUUAUUAAUAGAAAUAACUUGGGGAUGGUUAAAUAAUCUACUUCCAGAUGUUAACAAGCCAAAGAUUACUUAACCAUCCACAAGUUGUUUGCCUCACGAGUUGAUCUACAUAAAACUAUUUCUGGAAGUCCCUCAUUUGUCGACGACCCUUCCUUCAUAGUAUGCUUUAUAUUGUUGCCUCAUUAAAAACCUUGCUAGAAAAAUAUAAUUGGGAUAAAAACUGGUCGAAGAGAAAAGGAGUGUAGAGCAUACUUUUAGUACCAGCAAGGAUCUUUAGCAAUAUUACCUUUUGAGGUGGGUCAUAUUCCAAUUGCUUGGCAAUUUGACUCCAUCUUGAUCUUCCAAUUCAUACGAACAUUUACCAGUUAUAGCUGAAAUCUGAUAAGUUCUUUCCCAUGUUGGUCCCAGCUUCCCAACAUUAACGUUUCAAGUACUUUGAGUGACUUUUCUUAGGACCAAAUCCCCAACUUUGAAAUAUCAUAGAUUCUCUCUGCGGUUAAAAUACAUUUGCAUCAUUUGCUUUUGUGCCAUUAUCCUUACAUACGCCAGAUCCCCAUGCUCUUCAAGCAAAUCUAAUUUAUCCAGCAAUGAUUCAUUGUUUGCUUUUUCUUUUGCUCGGAAAAACCCUAUGUUCAGUUCCCCCACUUCCAUCGGUAUCAAAGACUUUUAAUUGUAUACAAGUGAAAAGGGUGUUUUAUACGUGCUCGACUUUGUCGUGGUCUGGUAUGCCCAUAACAUACCCGGUAGCUCAUCUGGAAACUUGACUUUAGCAUCUUCUAACUUCUUUUAAGGUUUGAAUAAUUACCUUGUUAGUCGACUCCACCUGUCCAUUAGCACUCGAGUGGUAUGGUAAAGAUGUAACUCGUUUGAUCUUCAAUCCUUCCAAAAACUUUGUCAGUUUGGAAACUAUGAAUUGUGGUCCAUUGUCACAAGUUAUUUCUAUUGGUUUUCCGAAUUGGUAAAUUAUGGUCCUAUAUAAAAUUGACCAUCUCUCAUUAUUCGAUCUUUUGGUAAGCACAUGCUUCAACUUAUUUAGUAAAAUAAUAAUUUAAAACCAAAAGAAAUUUUACCUUACCAGGUUCUAGUGGCAAGGGACCCACUAUGUCCAUCCCCCAUUUCAUAAAUGGCCACGGUGACACCACCGAAUGCAAAAGUUCUACAUAUCAAUGCACUAACUGUGCAUGACGCUGACAUUUAUCACACUUUUGUAGAAUUAUCUUUGCAUCUUGCUACAUCCGGGGUCAAUAGUAGCCAGCUCUGACUAACUUGAGAAUUAAUUAGUCUACACCAGAAUGGUUCCGGAAUACUCCUUCAUGAACUUCCAUCAUCACAUAGUCAGCCUCCGAGGCCCCUAGACACAAAUCUAGUGCCCCUUGGAACGAUCUCAUGUAUAACUGUCAAUCAAAAAGAUAGUAACGAGUCACCUUGGUCCGUAGUGCCAAGGAUUCUUUUGGGUCUUCUAGAAAUUUGCCAUGUCUUAGAUAUUCAAUGAACUCGUUCCUCCGGUCCCAUAUUAAGUUGGUUGAAUUAAUUUCACAGUAGCUGUCCACGCCCAACACCGAAUAUAGUAAUUGAACGAAUAUACCAGAAUCAGAUCCUUCCAUCUCUGUGGAUGAACCCAAAUUGGCCAAUGCGUCUGCCUUCAAAUUUUCCUCCCUUGGAAUGUGGACGAUUGACCACUCUGUGAAUCGUGUAAGUAAUGGUUGAACCUUGUUCAAGUUCUGUUGCAUGCGCUACUCCUUGGUGUCGAAAAUUCUAUACACUUGGUUUACCACCAACUGGAAUCGCAUUUUAUCUCGAUGACCUUGGAACCUAGUCCCCGAGCUAGUUCAAGUUCUGCAACCAAAGCCUCGUACUCGGCUUUAUUGUUAGUUAAUGGUAAAAUUCUAUUGGCCUUCCUUAGGGUUUCCCCCAAAUGAGUGAUUAAAAUUACACCAAAACCGGACCCUUUUACGUUGGAGGCUCCAUUUGUAAACAAGAUCAGACUCUCUAUACCAUUCCCGAUACCAACAAUGCUUCUUUAGCAGUAAAGGCAUUAAUUCCGAACUGAAAUCAGUCACGAAGUCGGCCUAAACUUGUUACUUAAUUGCAGUCUUGGGCUUGUAUUCAAUAUAGAAUUCACUAACUUCGACCACCUACUUAGCCAAAUGACCUGACAACUCAGGCUUAUGAAGGACAUUCCUUAACGAAAAGGUUGUCACAAUGGCUAUUAGAUGACAUUAAAAAUAUGGUCUAAGCUUCUAAGAGGCAACUACGAGAGCUAAGGCCAGCUUUUCAAGGUGCGGAUAACGUGUAUCCGCUCCUGAUAAUAUUUUACUAAUAUAAUAAAUGGGAAAUUGCAUACCAUCUUCUUCCCGGACCAAAACGGCACUUACCACUACUUUUGAGACCGCUAGAUAAAUCAAUAGUUGCUCACCUUCUCCUAAUUUCUACAACAACGGAGGGCUAGAUAGGUACCUUUUUAGGUCUUUAAGUGCAUAUUGGUAUUCCGGAGUCCAUACGAUGUCAUUCUUUUUUUUCAAAAGCAAAAAAAAAAUGAUGGAACUUUUACGAAGACCUCGAGAUGAACCUUCUUAGAGAUACCAAUCUACCGGUCAACAUCUUUAUUCCUUCACGCCUGUCAGCUGGUCUGGGAUAUUCUCGAUGGAUUUGAUUUUAUUGGGGUUUACCUUAAUUCCUCUUUGAGAGACCAAAAACCCCAGGAACUUAUCGGAACCCACUCCGAAGGCAUAUUUCUUCAGGUUGAGAUUCAUGUUGUACUUUUUCAGAAUGUCAAACGUCCCUUAGAGAUGUUCCAGUUGAUCUCCUGCAUAAAGAGACUUAACUAGCAUGUCGUCGAUAUAAGCUUCCAUCGUCUUACCUAUCUAUUUUUUAAAUAUCUUAUUAGCGAGCCUCUAAUAAGUGGCUCCCGUAUUUUUAAUCCCACAAGGCAUCACAUUAUAGCAAUAUGUGGUAAAGUUUGUGAUGAAAGAAUUCUUCUUUUAAUUUUCUGGGUCCAUCGUAAUUUGAUAAUACCCGAAAUAAGCAUCAAGAAAACUCAUCAACUCGUGCCUGGCUGCAGCAUUGAUCAUUUGAUCAAUGUUCGGCAAUAGGAAAAAGUCUUUGGGGCACACUUUAUUUAAAUUCUUAUCAUCUACACACAUCCUAAAUUUUCUAUUCUUUUUAGGCACUACUACGUUAGCUAUCCACUUCGAGUACUUUACCUCUCGAAUUGAACUGAUGUUAAGUAAUCGGGUUACCUCUUCCUUAACAAACCUGUUUUUGACCUUUGCUAUCAAUUGUUUCUUCUGCCUUACCGGGGGGAAGUUUGGAUCCAGACUAAGUUUGGAGACCUCCAAAUCCAAUGGAAAAUUUGUCAUAUCUGAAUGCAACCAUGAAAAGCAAUCAACGUUAGAUUUAAAAAAAUCUAUAAGUUUCAACCUGAGUUCGGGACUCAACCCCGUUCCUAAAUGAAAUUUUCUUUCCAGAAAUUCUUCAAACAAAGCCACUUGUUUGAGCUCUUCUGCGGUUAACUUGGUUGCAUCCAUCUUUUCUGGUACCUGAAAAGACCUUGGUGCCUGAUAUAAUUCUGAUGACUUCUCGUUUUUAUCAUCUACAAUUGGGAUGGGAGAAGGCAUUGGUUCCUGUAGUUGCUAUUUGCUGGUUUCUUUGCCCUUGCUGCUGGAAAUGGUUACUGUGUUCAUCUCCCUUACAGCAGAUUGAUCUCCUCUGAUCUGCUUGAUCCCUUCUAGUGUUGGAAACUUUAACAGUUAAUGGUAUGUGAAGGUACGACCUUCAUUUUGAUGUAUCCACGGUCUUCCAAAGAUUAUAUUAUAGACCAUGUCGCCAUUUACCACUUCAAACAGGGUGGUCUUUGCUACACCUUCAGCAUGUGUGGGCAGAAAAAUUUCUCCUCGGGUUGUUAUACUUGUUAUGUUGAAGCCAGCUAAAAGCUUUGUUGAUGGAAUGAUAUUCCCAGUUAACUUUGCUUCUCUCCAUUGUAUGAUAUUGGUUGAACUUCCUGGAUCAACCAAAAUACGCUUAAUACUAAAAUCUAAAAUAUUAAAAGAAAUUACCAAAGCAUCAUUUUGCGGUAGGAUAAGUCCAUCGGCAUCUUCCAUCGUGAAGGUGAUGUCAUCUUUUGAGACUUCUCGGAUCCUCUUGCCAUGAGUCACUGAUAUAUUCGUCUUAUUUGCUGGCAAAAAUGUCACCCCAUUUACUUUGUCUCCUCUGAAGAUCAUGUUGAUUGUCAUUCGAGGUGACCCUUCUGCUGGUUUUAAUGGUUAUGUAAUAUCCCUAUUUCUCUUAGAGUUGUUUUUGGUGCGAUCGCUUAACAAUUCCCCGAGGUGACCAUUCUUUAACAAUAUUUCCACCUCUUCAUGAAGAUGUCGGCAGUCCCCAGUCCUAUUAUCGUGAGUCCCAUAGAAUUCACACCAUAGAUUAGGAUCCCUUUGGCUAGGAUCCGAUCAGAUCGAUUUUGGGAACCUAAAUUCUUUAAUAUUUCUCAUGGGCGACACUAGUUCCACUAGGGUGAUACUAAAAUUGUAAUUAAACAACCGGGGAUACGCUGAAUCUUAGGAUCAUGGCACCUUUUUCUCCUACAACAAUCUGUUACUCCGGCCAUGAUCCAUCCUUCUAUCGCAAAUAAACCUAUUCGAUGACUGGAAUCCUUUAUUAUCGUGCCCUUCGGCCUUCUCAUAAGGCUGAAAAUGACUUCUAGAGUGUAUUCGAUCUAUAUCAAAAUCAUUUUUAAACUUAUCUUGAUUUCAAUCACGAUUCCGUCCUUUGGAAGACACCGUGGAACCAAGUCGACCAUCUUCACUUCUGAUCUUUGACUCAUAGAGAUAUUAAACAUCUGCCCAUAUGGUUGCCUGAAUUUCGAGCAAGCUCUCCUGCAAUUUUUGUGAGUUAUCGGAGCUUAAUAGGUUGAGACCCUUUGUAAAUGCCUCCGUUGCCCACUCAUCUUGAACCGCAGAUAACAACAUCAUUUCUUUCCGGAACCAGAUCACAAACUCUCUUAACAAUUUAGCUUUUCUUUAAGAUAUCAUGAAUAUAUCCACCUUCCUUGCUUGGACCUUUCUUGCUCCAGCAUUAUCUUUGAUAAACGAAUCUACAAGCAUUUCAAAAGGGUCAAUAGAAUGUUUUGAUAAGAGGGAAUACCAGGCUAAGUCACCAUUCGUAAGGGUUUCACCAAACUUCUUCAACAAAACCGAUUCGAUGUAAUGCUGGGCCAAGUUGUUUUCCUUUACUGUCGUAGUGUAGGUCAUAUCAUGAUGUGCUCCUGUGGAUCCGAAGUCACAUCAUAUUUUGGUAUAUCCAACAUCUUAAACCUCUUUGGGAUUAACUUCGAUGCAGCACAUAGUUUAAACAGCAACUACAUAUACUUCUUUAAAUCUGAUCCUUUUAACAUCGGCGGCACCCCCGUGAUAUGAUCCAUCAGAGCGAAAUUCCUUUGCAUUCUAAUCCAUUCAUUCAUUCAUUUCUCUCAUUAAUCUUAUGAGCUCGGUUUUGAAAGGGUUAUUUAAAUUGUUGUUCGCAAAUUCACUACCGGUACCUCUGGCCUCGUCGAAAUUGACCUCCUCUCUUGGUGUGUCGUUAUCAGUUCCUUGAGUCGUUUGCUUUACGAGAAUGCUGGGAGGAAUCGGGGCCCUUCCAUUAGCAUUAUUAGAAGCUCCCCAUACUACAUGUUUCAAUUUUGUCAUCACCCAAUCUUGCCUUGAGAGGCGAUCCAUAAUUGCCUUUUUCUAUUCCCUCAAGAUUUUGACUAUUUCAACAACGUGCUCAUCCUUUGCAUCAUCAAGAGUUGGGCCCCGCACAUGUCGAGGAUACAGACCUUCGCGAACUAGGUUGUUUCAUCCCCUUCGUUGUGGGGCUCACUGAUUGAAUCAUCACGCGUGAACACAUCUUCUUGUUGACCGUGUACUCCAACAUUUUAAACAAUAUUGACAUCAUUAGCUGUCAUACCUUAUCUUUCUUUUUCUAAGGAAGGAAUCAAAAUUUGUCAGUAAUAGAUAAAUAGAUCAAAGCAAUUACACAAUUGUCAAUGCCCCACAGUGGACGCCAAACUGUUUACCCAUAAAAUGAUAUAGUUAGAUUUGUAACGUAGUUUAUAGACAAAUAAAUCGAUUUGGUCCUAAAGUACGAAAACAAUAAUAACCGAAACAAGAAUACGAAAUAAAACUAAUGGAAACACAAGCCCGAGUAUGAAUUUAGCCUUUCCAAUGGCAAAAAGAGAACAUUAUUCAAGAACAAAGACUGAGAACAAUAUUAUAAAAUGGGAGCAGAAUAUAGCUUUUUUGUGUACAAAAUAUUUCCACCCCUACAAUGGAUGCUAAUCCUCCUACUUACAGCUCUGUUCUGGGAGACAAGAUCCUCAAAUCAAGUUCCUCUUGAAUGAGAAUAAAACCGUCAUUGAUGGCUGCAUAAUUGUUGGCUAUAAAUGCAUAUAUUCUUUGUAACAGUUGCUCGUUGAAUGUUAUCUAAUGAAAAUGCUUUGAAUCUUCAUUAUUAAUUGGCUACUCCGUCUUCGAGAUUCAUUCAGUAUCGAUUGCAUGAUUACAUCUGGUGCCAGCUGUUUGCUGACUCACGUCCCAUCUAUCUUUUGUUCCAUGCGUCACUUCGUCAUUCGCCCAACUAUCAUUAACCGAUUUUGCCCCAUACAGGUGUAGCUUUGAUUAUCGACACACAAGUUGAGGCUGACUCCAGUAUAUUGAGGCCAAAGGCACAGACAUAUAUAGGACUAGGACUAAACCGUGUAUUUCCGAGAAAAACUUAUAUACAUACGAUACCUAAUUCAAAACAUAGGAAAAUGGUAAUUUGUUUAGUCUUUUUCCCGUUCUUUUCCCUUUUUGAAUGAUUUUAGAAGUUUAAUUGUAUUCUAAAGACUAAACAUCAAUCCUCCCACGAUACUUGAGUUUUGAAGGUUACGUGGGUGGCAUACAUAAGUUCGUUGCUCAUUCUUCAAUUGUCAUUAUCUUUUUUUGUUGUUUCUAUCGUCACUUCCUUUUCUUUGUUGCAUUAUAGUGUUUGAUCUAAUUCUUAAUGUUAGCUAGAAAAAAUGGACAGCAAUGAGGUGUUAUAUAUAUNNNNNNNNNNNNNNNNNNNNNNNNUAUAUUAGUUAGUUAAAGCGGUUAAUGAAAAAAAAAGUUUGAUAUCACUAAACAACUCAAUAAAUGAAUAUGCAUGCGAGUCAUCUAUCAUAUCCGUAUAACAAUUAAGCAUUGGUUGAUUUUCGCCACUUGGAAUUAAAAAUUUACGUAACAAACUUCCUUCAUGCAAAGAGGUGUGAACAUUGGAUUAGAACUCGUACACACUGGACAAACAAAUUAGUCCCCACAUCAACUAACUCAAGUUCCAAACUCAUAGGCUAGCUAGUUAUAACCAACACUUAUAAAUACCACUCAAUAUUAACAAGAGAAAACAUCCCAACAGCACCCAAGUAUCUUGUACUACUACUUUUUCAAAACUCAUCUGCCAUCACUUUUAUUACCAAAAUGGCUGAAGAGAAGAAGCACCACUUCGGUCUCUUCCACCACAAGGACAAGGAGGAAGACAAAACUACCUAUGGAGAAACUCCAUAUGGUGGUGAUACUGAAAAAACUACCUAUGGAGAGAAUACAUAUGAAGAGAAAACUAGUUAUGGUGGGGGAGAUAACUAUGGGGAUAACAAAUAUGGUGAGAAAACUGGCUAUGGAGAAAGUGGAUAUGGAGAGAAAACUAGUUAUGGUGAGGGAGGUAACUAUGGAGAUAGUGGCUAUGAAAAUAAGACUAGCUAUGGAGAUAGUGGCUAUGAAAAUAAGACUAGUUAUGGAGAUAGCGGCUAUGAAAACAAGACUGGCUAUGGAGAUAUUCCAUCUGAUACUACCUAUGGAGAGAAAACUAAUUAUGGUGAAGGAGAUACCUAUGGAAAAGGAGCUGCCUACUCAUCUGAGACCACUAAUUUUGAAGAGACUACUGAUGAAGGCAAAACUGGUGAGGAUUAUGAGAAAGAGAAAAAGCACCACAAGCAUCUUGAACACGUGGGAGGGCUUGGGGCUGCUGCUGCUGGUGCCUUUGCCUUGGUAAUUUUUCACACAAUGUUUUAUGUUACAGUUUUAACUUUUAUAUCCUUGUGGUCCAGUCCUUCCCCGGACCCCGCGCAUAACGGAAACUCAGUGCAUCGGACUGCCUUUAUUGUCGUAUCAGUAAAGUUACAAAAUUAUGUUAAUUAAAGUCAUUGAACUUUACCUAUUGUAUCAGCUAAGUCACAAAAUUAUUUGUUGUCUCAUAAAAGUCAUUGACAAUUUGUUAGUUGUCUAGAAAAUACAAUUCACUAGAAAGUCAAAUUUUUUAAUAAAAAUUGAUAUUAGUAGCCAAGAGAAUAAGAGAAACUACUACUCUUUCCGUCUCACUUCAUGUGAAGGUGUUUGACUGGACAUGAAAUUUAAGAAAUAAAGAAAAAAAUUUGAAACUUGUGGUUUAAAAUAAUUUAUAGAAAUUUAUUUGGCUAAAAAUUAUCUCAUUAAGGGUAAAAGAAAAAAUUUAAAAUUAAGUUGUUACUAAAUAUAGAAAUGUGUCAUUUU